Molecule: ribosomal RNA, 253 nt
Filed under: uncultured bacterium
Lineage: Bacteria
Description: partial 16S ribosomal RNA
Rfam family: Bacterial small subunit ribosomal RNA
Source: RNAcentral
UACAGAGGGUGCAAGCGUUGUUCGGAAUUAUUGGGCGUAAAGCGCGCGUAGGCGGCUCGGAAAGUCGGUCGUGAAAUGCCGGGGCUCAACCCCGGGACUGCGUCCGAUACUCCCGAGCUGGAGGCAGGUAGGGGAGAUCGGAAUUCCUGGUGUAGCGGUGAAAUGCGCAGAUAUCAGGAGGAACACCGGUGGCGAAGGCGGAUCUCUGGGCCUUGCCUGACGCUGAGGCGCGAAAGCUAGGGGAGCGAACAGG